Molecule: long non-coding RNA, 483 nt
Filed under: Meriones unguiculatus (Mongolian gerbil)
Lineage: Eukaryota; Metazoa; Chordata; Mammalia; Rodentia; Muridae
Description: lncRNA (ENSMUGG00000012943.1)
Source: RNAcentral
CCGCCCCCACUCCAGCCCCGGGAAGCCCCGAUUGCGGGCGGAGCGCGAGCCACCGCGGCGGGUGGAGCCUGCGGCCGCCGGAUCCCAGGGCCAAUCGCGCGGUGGCAGGGGAGGAGCCCCGGAGGGGGAAAAAGAAAGUGCGGCGGAAAGUAAGAGGCGAGUCGAGGAAGGCUGCUGGGAUCUGGGUCUCCUGGGCUCGGCUUGGACCAGGGCGCGGAAAGAGGCAGUGGCCGGCCACCCUGCACCCAUCCCGUCAUUGUCGCCGAGUCUGCUCGGCUGGCCCAGGAAGGAUGGGAUUUCUGUGGUUGAUGAGUCUGUGCUUCUUUGGGAUCCUGCAGAGUCAUGCCUCAGGAUAUUUUGACAUCCAUGGUUUGAUUUUAAGUGCCUCUUCAGAAUUUCUCACUGUUCCUCAAAAUAAAGGAAGAUGAAAGAGGAGAGAGGGAGGAGAAUAAAGAAGAAAGAGAAACAAAGGAGUGAGGAGAA